This 243-nucleotide ribosomal RNA is filed under the name uncultured Actinomycetales bacterium. Its description in RNAcentral is "partial 16S ribosomal RNA". It matches the Rfam family "Bacterial small subunit ribosomal RNA", at positions 88 to 334 of the family's 1533-position model. The record is from RNAcentral. Lineage: Bacteria; Bacillati; Actinomycetota; Actinomycetes; Actinomycetales.
UACUCGAGUGGCGAACGGGUGAGUAACACGUGGGUGAUCUGCCUUGCACUUCGGGAUAAGCCUGGGAAACUGGGUCUAAUACCGGAUAGGAGCCAUUUUUAGUGUGAUGGUUGGAAAGUUUUUUCGGUGUAGGAUGAGCUCGCGGCCUAUCAGCUUGUUGGUGGGGUAAUGGCCUACCAAGGCGGCGACGGGUAGCCGGCCUGAGAGGGUGGACGGCCACAUUGGGACUGAGAUACGGCCCAG